UUUAAGCAUAGCCAUGAGUUUAUGUGUCUAACUUUGAUCAUUCGUUUUAUUUAAUUUUUUUAUGAUUAGUAUUUUUAUUGUUAUUAGAAGAGAAAAUAUAAAUAGUAUUUUAUGCGUGACUUAUGUUUUUUAAUAUUUUCAAAAAAAAUUAAAUAAGACGAACAAUCAAAGUUGAACAUAGAAACUCAUGAUUGUGUUUAAA
This is a microRNA precursor of Oryza sativa Indica Group (long-grained rice), 202 nucleotides long. It matches the Rfam family "MIR812 microRNA precursor family". The record is from Rfam. Lineage: Eukaryota; Viridiplantae; Streptophyta; Magnoliopsida; Poales; Poaceae.